This 247-nucleotide long non-coding RNA is filed under the name Lupinus angustifolius (narrow-leaved blue lupine). Its description in RNAcentral is "long non-coding RNA (LANG_LNC001178)". The record is from RNAcentral. Lineage: Eukaryota; Viridiplantae; Streptophyta; Magnoliopsida; Fabales; Fabaceae.
UGCAUUUUACCUAGAACUACAAACAAAAAUGACUGGGCUAUAAUGACCAGUAAGCUACCCUGCACGUAUGUAGCUUUACAUGCUCUUACUCAUCCUUGAUAUAUGGCUAGUGCUUAUAACUUAGCUCUGCCCAGAGUGCAAAGUCCAUCCAGAUUUUCAAUUAGUCAGCUUAAGUCAUUCCUCUCUAUCCGCCAACUAAAGGGUCAACAACAGUAGAUUUAGAUUUCAAGACUUUGACCUCUAUUCC